CGGGGUGUGGCGUAGCUGGCUAACGCGCCGUCAUGGGGUGGCGGAGAUCCUGAGUUCGAAUCUCAGCACCCCGACCU
RNAcentral lists this transfer RNA (77 nucleotides) under Candidatus Shapirobacteria bacterium CG07_land_8_20_14_0_80_39_12. RNAcentral's name for it is "tRNA-Pro". It matches the Rfam family "tRNA". From Rfam's summary of the family: Transfer RNA (tRNA) molecules are approximately 80 nucleotides in length. Their secondary structure includes four short double-helical elements and three loops (D, anti-codon, and T loops). The record is from RNAcentral. Lineage: Bacteria; Candidatus Shapironibacteriota.